CCGAGUUUACAACUCCCAAACCCAAUGUGAACGUUACCAAACUGUUGCCAUCGGCGGGGUCACGCCCCGGGUGCGUAAAAGCCCCGGAACCAGGCGCCCGCCGGAGGAACCAACCAAACUCUUUCUGUAGUCCCCUCGCGGACGUAUUUCUUACAGCUCUGAGCAAAAAUUUCAAAAUGAAUCA
Molecule: unclassified non-coding RNA, 184 nt
Filed under: soil metagenome
Description: partial internal transcribed spacer 1
Source: RNAcentral